Molecule: non-coding RNA, 484 nt
Organism: Camelina sativa (false flax)
Lineage: Eukaryota; Viridiplantae; Streptophyta; Magnoliopsida; Brassicales; Brassicaceae
Source: RefSeq, a predicted model, not a curated record
UUUCUUUUGUUUGUAGACUGACAAAGCCUCAAUGCUUGAUGAAGCUAUUGAAUAUCUGAAGCAGCUUCAACUUCAAGUGCAGACUUUAGCCGUUAUGAAUGGUUUAGGCCUAAACCCUAUGGGGUUACCACCGGUUCUACCUCCUACACAGACAAGGAACAAUGAGACCUUAGAUCAAGACCUGAACCUGGAGACUCUUCUUGCUGCUCCUCACUCCGUGGAACCACCUCAAGAAAUGUGCUUUUCCACAGCCACUCUGCUUUGAAGAUAACAUUCAGACAAUGAUGAUGAUCUGGCAUUAAACUGGUCAGGGUUCCUCUAGUACCUGCCAGACACAAGAGUCCAAAAUGUUUGUGAGUUCCAGUAUUGGCCAGAUUUCAAUGUUCAGUUAUAGUUAUGCUAAUAAGCUUUAGGACUGAACAAAACUGAGUAGUUUGAUUAUAAUGAUGUCUGAAGAAGAUUAUAUAAAAGAUUGAUUUAGUUA